UUCGCAGUUCGCACGACGCACGUUGUUGUUUGUUCCUUUGCAAAGUAUAAAUCGAGAAGUAUUUUGAAUGUAUAUUAAAUUUUACUGGACAUUAUGAUACAAGAUUGCCUGGAGAAGAUCGAGGAUAUUGUUUUAAAAGUGACUGGGAAUCUCAGUCAUCUCAGAGGUAAGGUUUUAAAAUUAUACGCGCAAACAGACGAAAGCUAUAUAUUUUGAAUUUCGAAUUUGCCGCGUAAACAGUGUACGUAUUUAACAGAAAUAUUCACAGUUUUGCUACUCAUUCCCACCAAAAAAAAUGAAUGAUUUAUAGAAAUAUGUUAUGCCGUGGUUAUACUAUAGGUACUAUGCCAUAUUAAGUGUGAUAUUGAUGUAAUGAUGUUGGCUAAACCAUGGUCAAAUACAUGAAUUUAUGUUAUAUAUUAAAAUAUGAACAUGAAACUGAUUGAAACAUCUGCCAUAACAGACUUACUCAAUCUUAGGAUUAUGAUGUACGGAAUCUUAGGAUCUACAUUAAUUUUGAUUAAGAAUUUGAAUGACAUAGCUGUUAUAUUGCCUUUUAAAUAAUUUUUAUAUGCAUCCUUUAUUAGAUGGUGGAUUAACAAGUGCCAAGUGGUGAUGUUUAUAAGUCUAAGUCAUCUAAGUCUGUAAUGAACGAGCAGGAAAGUAUGGUGCCAAGGUCUUUCAUUUGAUGAAAAAUAUCAACUUGAUAUUAGUUCAGUGAAACAAGAAAAGAAGCCAUUUGACUUGGUUUAAGGAAAUAAGGAACAUGGAUUAAUUGAGGUAGUACUAGUGUGCGAGAAACUCAGUGGAUGAGUGGAAAGUCUCCUCU
Long non-coding RNA from Dendronephthya gigantea, 829 nucleotides. RefSeq lists it as uncharacterized. The transcript is spliced from 3 exons. Lineage: Eukaryota; Metazoa; Cnidaria; Anthozoa; Malacalcyonacea; Nephtheidae. The record is from RefSeq and is a predicted model, not a curated record.